GAUGAACGCUAGCUACAGGCUUAACACAUGCAAGUCGAGGGGCAGCAUGAUCUUAGCUUGCUAAGGCCGAUGGCGACCGGCGCACGGGUGAGUAACACGUAUCCAACCUGCCGUCUACUCUUGGACAGCCUUCUGAAAGGAGNUUAAUACAAGAUGGCAUCAUGAGUCCGCAUGUUCACAUGAUUUAAAAGGGUAUUUCCCGGGUAAGACGGAUGGGGAUGCGUUCCAUUAGAUAGUAGGCGGGGUAACGGCCCACCUAGUCUUCGAUGGAUAGGGGUUCUGAGAGGAAGGUCCCCCAUAUUGGGAACUGAGACACGGUCCAAACUCCUACGGGA
This 335-nucleotide ribosomal RNA is filed under the name uncultured bacterium. Its description in RNAcentral is "bacterial SSU rRNA". It matches the Rfam family "Bacterial small subunit ribosomal RNA", at positions 28 to 346 of the family's 1533-position model. The record is from RNAcentral.